Molecule: ribosomal RNA, 470 nt
Filed under: uncultured bacterium
Lineage: Bacteria
Description: bacterial SSU rRNA
Rfam family: Bacterial small subunit ribosomal RNA
Source: RNAcentral
GGCGCGCCUAACACAUGCAAGUCGAGCGGGGAGAGCGAUAGUUUACUAGAGUUUUCCUAGCGGCGGACGGGUGAGUAACACGUGAAGAACCUGCCUUACAGAGGGGGACAACAGCUGGAAACGGCUGCUAAUACCGCAUAACGUUUAGUUGGGGCAUCCCCGAUUUAAACCAAAGGAGUAAUCCGCGUGUAAGAUGGCUUCGCGUCCGAGUUAGACAGUUGGCGGGGUAACGGCCCACCAAAUCGUACGAUCGGUAGCCGGACCUGAGAGGUUGAACGGCCACAUUGGGACUGAGACACGGCCCAGACUCCUACGGGGAGGCAGCAGUGGGGGAUAUUGCACAAUGGAGGAAAACUCUGAUGCAGCGACGCCCGCGUGAGGGAAAGAAGGUUUUUCGGAUUGUAAAACCUCUGUCUUCGGUGACGUAAAAUGACGGUAGCCGAGGAGGAAGCCACGGCUAACUACGUGCC